This 425-nucleotide ribosomal RNA is filed under the name uncultured bacterium. Its description in RNAcentral is "bacterial SSU rRNA". It matches the Rfam family "Bacterial small subunit ribosomal RNA", at positions 354 to 796 of the family's 1533-position model. The record is from RNAcentral.
GUGGGGAAUCUUGCGCAAUGGGCGAAAGCCUGACGCAGCCAUGCCGCGUGAAUGAUGAAGGUCUUAGGAUUGUAAAAUUCUUUCACCGGGGACGAUAAUGACGGUACCCGGAGAAGAAGCCCCGGCUAACUUCGUGCCAGCAGCCGCGGUAAUACGAAGGGGGCUAGCGUUGCUCGGAAUUACUGGGCGUAAAGGGCGCGUAGGCGGACAGUUUAGUCAGAGGUGAAAGCCCAGGGCUCAACCUUGGAAUUGCCUUUGAUACUGGCUGUCUUGAGUACGGGAGAGGUGAGUGGAACUCCGAGUGUAGAGGUGAAAUUCGUAGAUAUUCGGAAGAACACCAGUGGCGAAGGCGACUCACUGGCCCGUUACUGACGCUGAGGCGCGAAAGCGUGGGGAGCAAACAGGAUUAGAAACCCGUGUAGUCC